CAAUAGACAUCUUCUUAUACUCAGGUUAUAUAUUUGGGUUGUGAUGGCCAGAUGACAAUUAACAUAUGAAGAAACAGAAAAAGAUUUUUCCAGGUUAUCAUCCUGUUUUCCAUGGCCACCAGCAGUGGGUAUGGGAGAGUCAUCCUCCGCAAACUUGCCAGUGUCUCCUUUAGAAGCUUUCUGUAUUCUGGAUACAAGAAGACUGUCAUCUGAUAUACAAUUUCCCACAUUCAUUUUCCCAGGUAAGAAAAAUAUGUUUCUAUCAUAUAUUUGGAAGAAUAGAUAUUUUCUCACUUUAUGGAAUUCGUAACACUCCAGUUCUUCAUUUAAUGAAAGGGGGUUUGCCAUAUCUAAGAAGUUUGUUUGU
Microtus oregoni (creeping vole) is the source of this 367-nucleotide long non-coding RNA. RefSeq lists it as uncharacterized. The transcript has 3 exons. Lineage: Eukaryota; Metazoa; Chordata; Mammalia; Rodentia; Cricetidae. The record is from RefSeq and is a predicted model, not a curated record.